AAUGAACGUUGGCGGCGUGGAUUAGGCAUGCAAGUCGAGCGAGAAGGGUUUGGUGCUUGCAUUGAACCUGGAAAGCGGCGAAAGGGAGAGUAACGCGUGGAUACGUACCCUGGGGUCUGGGAUAGCGUCGGGAAACUGGCGGUAAUACCGGAUAACAUCCCUGGAUCAAAGGUUUACCGCCCUAGGAGCGGUCCGCGUCCUACUAGCUUGUUGUGGGGUAAUGGCCUACCAAGGCAAUGAUGGGUAGCGGGCGUGAGAGCGUGACCCGUCUCACUGGGACUGAGACACUGCCCAGACACCUACGGGUGGCUGCAGUCGAGAAUCUUCCGCAAUGGACGAAAGUCUGACGGAGCGACGCCGCGUGCGGGACGAAGGCCUUCGGGUUGUGAACCGCUGUCAGAGGGAAGGAAAUUUUGACCGAACCUCAGAGGAAGUCCGGGCUAAGUUCGUGCCAGCAACCGCGGUAACACGAACCGGACGAACGUUAUUCGGAAUUACUGGGCUUAAAGAGUGCGUAGGCGGCCAUGUAAUGUGGGGUGUGAAAGCCCACGGCUCAACCGUGGAAUUGCGCUCCAAACCACUUG
Molecule: ribosomal RNA, 584 nt
Filed under: uncultured bacterium
Lineage: Bacteria
Description: bacterial SSU rRNA
Rfam family: Bacterial small subunit ribosomal RNA
Source: RNAcentral